GGUUAAGCGAACAAGCGUACACGGUGGAUGCCCUGGCAGUCAGAGGCGAUGAAGGACGUGCUAAUCUGCGAAAAGCGCCGGUAAGGUGAUAUGAACCGUUAUAACCGGCGAUGUCCGAAUGGGGAAACCCGGUGCACUUCGGUGCAUCAUCGUUAGCUGAAUACAUAGGCUAACGAGGCGAACCGGGGGAACUGAAACAUCUAAGUACCCCGAGGAAAAGAAAUCAACCGAGAUUCCCCCAGUAGCGGCGAGCGAACGGGGAACAGCCCAGAGCCUGAAUCAGCUUGUGUGUCAGUGGAACGGUCUGGAAAGGCCGGCGAUACAGGGUGACAGCCCCGUACACGAAGGCACACAGGCUGUGAGCUCGAUGAGUAGGGCGGGACACGUGAUAUCCUGUCUGAAGAUGGGGGGACCAUCCUCCAAGGCUAAAUACUCCUGACUGACCGAUAGUGAACCAGUACCGUGAGGGAAAGGCGAAAAGAACCCCGGCGAGGGGAGUGAAACAGAACCUGAAACCGUGUACGUACAAGCAGUGGGAGCCUUCGUAAGAGGGUGACUGCGUACCUUUUGUAUAAUGGGUCAGCGACUUAUAUUCUGUAGCAAGGUUAACCGUAUAGGGGAGCCGAAGGGAAACCGAGUCUUAACCGGGCGUUAAGUUGCAGGGUAUAGACCCGAAACCCGGUGAUCUAGCCAUGGGCAGGUUGAAGGUUGGGUAACACUAACUGGAGGACCGAACCGACUAAUGUUGAAAAAUUAGCGGAUGACCUGUGGCUGGGGGUGAAAGGCCAAUCAAACCGGGAGAUAGCUGGUUCUCCCCGAAAGCUAUUUAGGUAGCGCCUCGUGAACUCAUCUCCGGGGGUAGAGCACUGUUUCGGCUAGGGGGCCAUCCCGGCUUACCAACCCGAUGCAAACUGCGAAUACCGGAGAAUGUUAUCACGGGAGACACACGGCGGGUGCUAACGUCCGUCGUGAAGAGGGAAACAACCCAGACCGCCAGCUAAGGUCCCAAAGUCAUGGUUAAGUGGGAAACGAUGUGGGAAGGCCCAGACAGCCAGGAUGUUGGCUUAGAAGCAGCCAUCAUUUAAAGAAAGCGUAAUAGCUCACUGGUCGAGUCGGCCUGCGCGGAAGAUGUAACGGGGCUAAACCAUGCACCGAAGCUGCGGCAGCGACGCUUAUGCGUUGUUGGGUAGGGGAGCGUUCUGUAAGCCUGCGAAGGUGUGCUGUGAGGCAUGCUGGAGGUAUCAGAAGUGCGAAUGCUGACAUAAGUAACGAUAAAGCGGGUGAAAAGCCCGCUCGCCGGAAGACCAAGGGUUCCUGUCCAACGUUAAUCGGGGCAGGGUGAGUCGACCCCUAAGGCGAGGCCGAAAGGCGUAGUCGAUGGGAAACAGGUUAAUAUUCCUGUACUUGGUGUUACUGCGAAGGGGGGACGGAGAAGGCUAUGUCAGCCGGGCGACGGUUGUCCCGGUUUAAGCGUGUAGGCUGACUUUCCAGGCAAAUCCGGAGAGUUAAGGCUGAGGCGUGAUGACGAGGCACCACGGUGCUGAAGUGACAAAUGCCCUGCUUCCAGGAAAAGCCUCUAAGCAUCAGGUAACAUCAAAUCGUACCCCAAACCGACACAGGUGGUCAGGUAGAGAAUACCAAGGCGCUUGAGAGAACUCGGGUGAAGGAACUAGGCAAAAUGGUGCCGUAACUUCGGGAGAAGGCACGCUGACAUGUAGGUGAAGCCCCUGCGGGUGGAGCUGAAGUCAGUCGAAGAUACCAGCUGGCUGCAACUGUUUAUUAAAAACACAGCACUGUGCAAACACGAAAGUGGACGUAUACGGUGUGACGCCUGCCCGGUGCCGGAAGGUUAAUUGAUGGGGUUAUCGCAAGAGAAGCUCCUGAUCGAAGCCCCGGUAAACGGCGGCCGUAACUAUAACGGUCCUAAGGUAGCGAAAUUCCUUGUCGGGUAAGUUCCGACCUGCACGAAUGGCGUAAUGAUGGCCAGGCUGUCUCCACCCGAGACUCAGUGAAAUUGAACUCGCUGUGAAGAUGCAGUGUACCCGCGGCAAGACGGAAAGACCCCGUGAACCUUUACUACAGCUUGACACUGAACAUUGAGCCUUGAUGUGUAGGAUAGGUGGGAGGCUUUGAAGCGUGGACGCCAGUCUGCGUGGAGCCAACCUUGAAAUACCACCCUUUAAUGUUUGAUGUUCUAACCUGGCGCCGUAAUCCGGCGUGGGGACAGUGUCUGGUGGGUAGUUUGACUGGGGCGGUCUCCUCCCAAAGUGUAACGGAGGAGCACGAAGGUCAGCUAAUCCUGGUCGGACAUCAGGAGGUUAGUGCAAUGGCAUAAGCUGGCUUGACUGCGAGAGUGACGGCUCGAGCAGGUGCGAAAGCAGGUCAUAGUGAUCCGGUGGUUCUGUAUGGAAGGGCCAUCGCUCAACGGAUAAAAGGUACUCCGGGGAUAACAGGCUGAUACCGCCCAAGAGUUCAUAUCGACGGCGGUGUUUGGCACCUCGAUGUCGGCUCAUCACAUCCUGGGGCUGAAGUAGGUCCCAAGGGUAUGGCUGUUCGCCAUUUAAAGUGGUACGCGAGCUGGGUUUAGAACGUCGUGAGACAGUUCGGUCCCUAUCUGCCGUGGGCGCUGGAGAAUUGAGGGGGGCUGCUCCCAGUACGAGAGGACCGGAGUGGACGCAUCACUGGUGUUCGGGUUGUCAUGCCAAUGGCACUGCCCGGUAGCUAAAUGCGGAAGAGAUAAGUGCUGAAAGCAUCUAAGCACGAAACUUGCCCCGAGAUGAGUUCUCCCUGAGACUGUAAGUCUCCUGAAGGAACGUUGAAGACGACGACGUUGAUAGGCCGGGUGUGUAAGCGCAGCGAUGCGUUGAGCUAACCGGUACUAAUGAACCGUGAGGCUUAACCUU
RNAcentral lists this ribosomal RNA (2903 nucleotides) under Cronobacter sakazakii. Its description in RNAcentral is "23S ribosomal RNA". It matches the Rfam family "Bacterial large subunit ribosomal RNA". Lineage: Bacteria; Pseudomonadati; Pseudomonadota; Gammaproteobacteria; Enterobacterales; Enterobacteriaceae. The record is from RNAcentral.